GACGAACGCUGGCGGCGUGCCUAAUACAUGCAAGUCGAACGAGAGCGACCGGUGCUUGCACUGGUCAAUCUAGUGGCGAACGGGUGAGUAACACGUGGGUAACCUGCCCAUCAGAGGGGGAUAACAUCCGGAAACGGAUGCUAAAACCGCAUAGGUCUUCGAGCCGCAUGGCUUGAAGAGGAAAAGAGGCGCAAGCUUCUGCUGAUGGAUGGACCCGCGGUGCAUUAGCUAGUUGGUGAGGUAACGGCUCACCAAGGCCGUGAUGCAUAGCCGACCUGAGAGGGUGAUCGGCCACAUUGGGACUGAGACACGGCCCAAGCUCCUACGGGAGGCAGCAGUAGGGAAUCUUCCGCAAUGGACGCAAGUCUGACGGAGCAACGCCGCGUGAGUGAAGAAGGUGUUCGGAUCGUAAAACUCUGUUGUUAGAGAAGAACAAGUGCUAGAGUAACUGUUAGCGCCUUGACGGUAGCUAACCAGAAAGCCACGGCUAACUACGUG
Molecule: ribosomal RNA, 498 nt
Filed under: uncultured bacterium
Lineage: Bacteria
Description: partial 16S ribosomal RNA
Rfam family: Bacterial small subunit ribosomal RNA
Source: RNAcentral